CUCUGUUUCGAAAGAAUCAGGGCAUAAAGGAG
Molecule: non-coding RNA, 32 nt
Filed under: Halalkalibacterium halodurans
Lineage: Bacteria; Bacillati; Bacillota; Bacilli; Caryophanales; Bacillaceae
Description: L31-Firmicutes ribosomal protein leader
Rfam family: L31-Firmicutes ribosomal protein leader
Source: RNAcentral